AGAAAUUGAAAGAGGAGGAGAGGAGGAGAGACCCACAGUUGAUCUCUGAGAAGUGAGUAGCUGGAGGCACCAGGAUACCAGCCAAGCCUAAAGGAUAAAGCAAAUCCCUGGACAUGGCUUUUGAUUCCAAGCUAAGAAGUGCAAGGUUUGAAUGGUGAAGAAAUGAUGGACGCUGUUUGUCUCAAACAAGGACUCUAAUGAUACAACAGAACAAGUCACAAGAAAGCUUGCCUGGAAAACCAUACACUGGCCUCUUCGUGGUGAAGUCCUUCACAAUCCUUACAAACAUAGAAAAUAUUCAGCAAUUCGUUUGUUUGUUUUCCAGUCCACUCUUACUUGAGAAAAAUGCAAAACAUCAAAGACACAGAAAAACCACCAGUCUAUACAGCUUGCCCAUACUAAAUUGUUAUUCAUUUCAGAAGAGUGUACAGUUUCUUUCUGUAAGACUCUAUUAAACCAGUUACUCUACAAUAGCAAACAUUUUAGGCAAACCUAACCAUUGCUUCCCAUAAAGAUAUUUAUAUCUUUAAGUGGUAUCUGAUUCAUCCCUAAGAAAUAUGUUAUCAAGAUGUUUGUUUGUUUGUUUGUUUGUUCAUUUGUUUUUGAGAUGGAGUUUCACUCUUGUUGCCCAGGCUGGAGUGCAGUGGCAUGAUCUCGGUUCACUGCAACCUCUGCCUCCCGGUUCAAGCGAUUCUCCUGCCUCAGCCUCCCGAGUAGCUGGGAUUACUGGCACCCACCACCACUCCCAGCUAAUUUUUUGUAUUUUUAAUAGAGACGGGGUUUCACCAUGUUGGCCAGGCUGGUCUCAAACUCCUGACCUCAGGUGAUCCACUUGCCUCGACCUCCCAAAGUGCUGGGAUAACAGGC
RNAcentral lists this long non-coding RNA (867 nucleotides) under Homo sapiens (human). RNAcentral's name for it is "HSALNT0322495". Lineage: Eukaryota; Metazoa; Chordata; Mammalia; Primates; Hominidae. The record is from RNAcentral.